GUGCACUACAUCAGGGCCCUGGUUAAAUGUAGUGCUCUAGAAAGGGAAUAGGGUGCUAUGGGCCCUAGUUAAAAGAAGUGCACUAGAUAGGGAAUAGGGUGCUAUAGGCCCUGGUUAAAAGAAGUGCACUAGAUAGGGAAUAGGGUGCUAUAGGCCCUGUUUAAAAGAAGUGCACUAGAUAGGGAAUAGGGUGCUAUAGACCCUGGUUAAAAUUAGUGCAUUACAUAGGGAAUAGGGUGCCAUUUGGGCCACAUAGACCCACCCCAUGCUCAUUUAAAUGACCACAGACAGAGCGGUCUGUUGACCACAGCACUUUAAUCACCACCAGCCAGGCCAAGCUAAGCGAUCACAGAUCUGCUCCAGGCCAAGCUAAGCGAUCACAGAUCUGCGCCAGGCAAAGCUAAGCGAUCACAGAUCUGCUCCAGGCCAAGCUAAGCAAUCACAGAUCUGCGCCAGGCCAAGCUAAGCGAUCACAGAUCUGCUCCAGGCCAAGCUAAGCGAUCACAGAUCUGCGCCAAGCUAAGCAAUCACAGAUCUGCUGCAGGCCAAGCUAAGCGAUCACAGAUCUGCUCCAGGCCAAGCUAAGCGAUCACAGAUCUGUGCCAGGCCAAGCUAAACGAUCACAGGUCAGCGCCAGGCCAAGCUAAGCCCCGUCCUGAUUCAUACUAUACAAAACAGCUCCCCUCAUCCACAAAUCUGCAAUCCCAAUAAUCUGUCCUUUCUCCUGAAGUGUGCACUUGUGCACUCCUUCACAAAUGUAAAAGCAUUGGAUAGGUGGAGGUAUGGACUAGAGGAUAGGUGGAGGCAUGGUCUGGAGGAUAGGUGGAGGCAUGGUCUGGAGGAUAGGUGGAGGCAUGGUCUGGAGGAUAGGUGGAGGCAUGGUCUGGAGGAUAGGUGGAGGUAUGGACUGGAGGAUAGGUGGAGGUAUGGACUAGAGGAUAGGUGGUAUGGACUAGACUAGAGGAUAGGUGGAGGUAUGGACUAGAUGAUAGGUGGAGGUAUGGACUAGAGGAUAGGUGGAGGUAUGGACUAGAGGAUAGGUGGAGGUAUGGACUAGACUAGAGGAUAGGUGGAGGUAUGGACUAGACUAGAGGAUAGGUGGAGGUAUGGACUAGACUAGAGGAUAGGUGGAGGUAUGGACUAGACUAGAGGAUAGGUGGAGGUAUGGACUAGACUAGAGGAUAGGUGGAGGUAUGGACUAGAGGAUAGGUGGAGGUAUGGACUAGAGGAUAGGUGGAGACAUGGACUAGAGGAUAGGUGGAGGUAUGGACUAGAGGAUAGGUGGAGGUAUGGACUAGACUAGAGGAUAGGUGAAGGCAUGGACUAGAGGAUAGGUGGAGGUAUGGACUAGACUAGAGGAUAGGUGGAGGUAUGGACUAGAGGAUAGGUGGAGGUAUGGACUAGAGGAUAGGUGGAGGCAUGGACUAGAGGAUAGGUGGAGGUAUGGACUAGACUAGAGGAUAGGUGGAGGUAUGGACUAGAGGAUAGGUGGAAGUAUGGACUAGACUAGAGGAUAGGUGGAGGCAUGGACUAGACUAGAGGAUAGGUGGAGGUAUGGACUAGACUAGAGGAUAGGUGGAGGUAUGGACUAGAGGAUAGGUGGAGAUAUGGACUAGAGGAUAGGUGGAGGUAUGGACUAGAGGAUAGGUGGAGGUAUGGACUAGAGGAUAGGUGGAUGUAUGGACUAGACUAGAGGAUAGGUGGAGAUAUGGACUAGACUAGAGGAUAGGUGGAGAUAUGGACUAGACUAGAGGAUAGGUGGAGGUAUGGACUAGACUAGAGGAUAGGUGGAGGUAUGGACUAGACUAGAGAAUAGGUGGAGGUAUGGACUAGAGGAUAGGUGGAGGUAUGGACUAGACUAGAGGAUAGGUGGAGAUAUGGACUAGAGGAUAGGUGGAGGUAUGGACUAGACUAGAGGAUAGGUGGAGGUAUGGACUAGAGGAUAGGUGGAGGUAUGGACUAGACUAGAGGAUAGGUGGAGGUAUGGACUAGACUAGAGGAUAGGUGGAGGUAUGGACUAGACUAGAGGAUAGGUGGAGGUAUGGACUAGACUAGAGGAUAGGUGGAGGUAUGGACUAGACUAGAGGAUAGGUGGAGGUAUGGACUAGAGGAUAGGUGGAGGUAUGGACUAGACUAGAGGAUAGGUGGAGGUAUGGACUAGAGGAUAGGUGGAGGUAUGGACUAGAGGAUAGGUGGAGGUAUGGACUAGAGGAUAGGUGGAGGUAUGGACUAGACUAGAGGAUAGGUGGAGGUAUGGACUAGAGGAUAGGUGGAGGUAUGGACUAGAGGAUAGGUGGAGGUAUGGACUAGAGGAUAGGUGGAGGUAUGGACUAGAGGAUAGGUGGAGGUAUGGACUAGACUAGAGGAUAGGUGGAGGUAUGGACUAGAGGAUAGGUGGAGGUAAGGACUAGACUAGAGGAUAGGUGGAGGUAUGGACUAGACUAGAGGAUAGGUGGAGAUAUGGACUAGACUAGAGGAUAGGUGGAGGCAUGGACUAGACUAGAGGAUAGGUGGAGGCAUGGACUAGACUAGAGGAUAGGUGGAGGUAUGGACUAGACUAGAGGAUAGGUGGAGGUAUGGACUAGACUAGAGGAUAGGUGGAGGUAUGGACUAGACUAGAGCGAGUUCCACCAUGAAUUUGCUUUUUUACCCAAGAAAGGAAGUGAACAAGUGCACACUGAUAAAAAGGACAGAUUGUUGGGCCCCGUGCUGAACUCCCUCCUUAGGUUUCUAUUGGGAAGGGAAGGGAAGGGAAGGGAUAGGAUAGCGGGAGGAGAGGUGUAUCACCGCAGAGUUGGGGGUCAAAGGUCAUUGCACAAUAUUAUAGACUUGCUGUUCUGUAAAAGCCUAAUAUGCAAUGCAUUGUUUAUUAUUAUUAUUAUUAUUAUUACCAUAAUAAAAUAUGAUAAAAUAUAUUAUUUUCGUAUUUUUCCAUUUGUCUGAUGUCAAUCUCUCCCGCUUUGCCAGGGAGCCACCAUUGUUGGAUGAUGUAUAUUAUAUUAUACAUGUGUAAUAAAUAAGUCAUAUUAAUAAUCAUCGUGUUGAGAAAUGAAUCCCAUGUAGUCUUCUUCAUCAUGUUGGUCUGAUAAUAUUACGUGGAUGACGACACCUAAUAAAACACGUGUUGCUGUUCAGCGUGUUGUGUGUUCUGUCUGGUCAGUUGCUGUUCAGCGUGUUGUGUGUUCUGUCUGGUCUGUUGCUGUUCAGCGUGUUGUGUGUUCUGUCUGUUGCUGUUCAGCGUGUUGU
Molecule: long non-coding RNA, 3246 nt
Organism: Oncorhynchus tshawytscha (Chinook salmon)
Lineage: Eukaryota; Metazoa; Chordata; Actinopteri; Salmoniformes; Salmonidae
Source: Ensembl